UUUGUAACUUUCCACAUGGUGAUUCAAUAAACACACACACACAAAGGGUCUCUUGCCUUUAGGGGGCUGUAGCCCUGCCCCCGAACAUGAGUCUGAAGAUUCUAUAGCA
This 109-nucleotide small nucleolar RNA is filed under the name Sorex araneus (European shrew). Its description in RNAcentral is "Small nucleolar RNA SNORA68 (ENSSARG00000019917.1)". Lineage: Eukaryota; Metazoa; Chordata; Mammalia; Eulipotyphla; Soricidae. The record is from RNAcentral.